UACGUAGGGUGCGAGCGUUAAUCGGAAUUACUGGGCGUAAAGUGUGCGCAGGCGGCAGAGCAAGUCGAGUGUGAAAUCCCCGGGCUCAACCUGGGAAUGGCAUUUGGGACUGCAAGGCUGGAGUUUGGCAGAGGAGACUGGAAUUCCAGGUGUAGCAGUGAAAUGCGUAGAUAUCUGGAGGAACACCGAUGGCGAAGGCAGCCCCCUGGGCUAACACUGACGCUCAUGCACGAAAGCGUGGGGAGCAAACAGG
RNAcentral lists this ribosomal RNA (253 nucleotides) under uncultured bacterium. RNAcentral describes it as "partial 16S ribosomal RNA". It matches the Rfam family "Bacterial small subunit ribosomal RNA", at positions 524 to 776 of the family's 1533-position model. The record is from RNAcentral.